AUGAAAACAGCCGAGUUCAUCAGGAAAGCCAGCAUGACGAGCUCCUCCAAUCAACGGCCUCUCUCAACUCCCACCAGCCUACUUCUCCAGUUCUGCCUCUUAUGCUGGCAACAGUCCUCAGCCUAUAUAAGUGACUGUAAAAGCCUACGGCUGGUGAUUUGGACCUCGGCGCUCCAGAGCCAUUAACGUGAUAAAGUUAGCCUCCAGCUGCCUCUGGUGCCAGGUCUUCCAUCUGCUCUGUUCCUGCAGUCCGUAACAGUAGAUACGUGAAGCCCUGGAUUCAAUCUGCGUGACCACAAAAUGAAUAAACACAAUAAAAACUUAAAGGUUACUUGUUGUUUAUUUGUUUGUGUCUUGUUGAGACGGGGUCUUGCUAUGUAGUCCAGGCUGGUUUCAAACUGAC
RNAcentral lists this long non-coding RNA (403 nucleotides) under Chinchilla lanigera (long-tailed chinchilla). RNAcentral describes it as "lncRNA (ENSCLAG00000028711.1)". Lineage: Eukaryota; Metazoa; Chordata; Mammalia; Rodentia; Chinchillidae. The record is from RNAcentral.